This 400-nucleotide unclassified non-coding RNA is filed under the name soil metagenome. Its description in RNAcentral is "partial contains 5.8S ribosomal RNA, internal transcribed spacer 2, and large subunit ribosomal RNA". The stretch from base 1 to 122 matches the Rfam family "5.8S ribosomal RNA", at positions 35 to 154 of the family's 154-position model. The record is from RNAcentral.
GAUGAAGAACGUAGCGAAAUGUGAUACUUGGUGUGAAUUGCAGAAUCCCGUGAACCAUCGAGUCUUUGAACGCAAGUUGCGCCUCAAGCCAUUAGGUUGAGGGCACGUCUGCCUGGGCGUCACAUAUCGUUGCCUGAUGCCAGUUUCCUCGUGAUGGGUGACUGUGCAGGGCGAAUGAUGGCUUCCCGUGAGCAUUGUUGCCUCAUGGUUGGUUGAAAAUUGAGUCCUUGGUAGGGAGCGCCGUGAUAAAUGGUGGUUGAGUGACGAACGAGACCCAAUCAUGUGAGACCCCUACCGAAUUUGGCCUUCAUGACCCACAUGCGUCUUUGGAACGCUCAUGACGAGACCUCAGGUCAGGCGGGGCUACCCGCUGAGUUUAAGCAUAUCAAUAAGCGGAGGA